CUGAAAGGGCGGCCGCGGACGUGACCAUCUGGCGGGAAAGGGGCGGGGGCCGGGCGGAGUCUGAAAACGGCACUUUCGGUCUUCAUAAGGGCUCGGAGGAGGGGGUGCGCUCGGCCGGCCAGUGGAAGGAGUUGCCGCGCGCGCGAGAGGGUCUGGACCCCGCAGUCUCCCGGGCGCCCGCUGGGUUGCGUCUGCGCCCCUCUUUCCCCGCUCGGCCCUGUCCCCCCGCUUGGGCUCACACCUGCUUCCCCCACCUCCACCUCAGAAGCCACGGCUCAGCCCGCCGGCAACUUGCGGUCCGUAGUCCAGUGCGGACACGAGGCGGUGAGCCGUGUCCAUCCCGGAUCCGAGGGCCUCCGCCAGAUCAAGUCCCUUAACCUCGUGCCGAGCCCGGGAAAGCGAAGAGGAAAUUUACGGACUCUAGGACCCCAAGGUACCUGCCAGGAGGGACUCCGCCAGAUCACGUCCCAUAACCUCGUGCCGAGCCCGGGAAAGCGAAGAGGAAAUUUACGGACUCUGGGACCCCAAGUGCCAGCAGAAGUUAUUGUCGUUCAUUUGUUGACACAGAUAUUACAGCAGGUCUGAUUCUGGUGCACAUCAUGUCCAGUUUUGAAGAUGCUGACACAGAAGAGACAUUAACUUGUCUCCAGAUGACUGUUUACCAUCCAGGCCACCAGCAAAAUGGAAUAUUCCAAUCAAGAAGGUUUUUUAGCCGAGAGAAACUCCCUUCCAGCGAAGUGGUAAAAUUUGGCCGAAAUUCCAUCUGUCAGUAUACCUUUCAGGACAAACAUGCUUCUCGAGUUCAGUUUUCUCUGCACCUAUUUAAAAAGUUUGAUAGCUCAGUUCUCUCUU
This 852-nucleotide long non-coding RNA is filed under the name Sus scrofa (pig). RNAcentral's name for it is "lncRNA (ENSSSCG00025064759.1)". The record is from RNAcentral. Lineage: Eukaryota; Metazoa; Chordata; Mammalia; Artiodactyla; Suidae.